CGGGGUGUAGCUCAGAUUGGUAGAGCACCUGGUUUGGUAACAGGGGGUCACAUGUUCAAAUCGUGUCAUCCCGA
RNAcentral lists this transfer RNA (74 nucleotides) under Paenibacillus taichungensis. Its description in RNAcentral is "tRNA-Pro". It matches the Rfam family "tRNA". From Rfam's summary of the family: Transfer RNA (tRNA) molecules are approximately 80 nucleotides in length. Their secondary structure includes four short double-helical elements and three loops (D, anti-codon, and T loops). Further hydrogen bonds mediate the characteristic L-shaped molecular structure. tRNAs have two regions of fundamental functional importance: the anti-codon, which is responsible for specific mRNA codon recognition, and the 3' end, to which the tRNAs corresponding amino acid is attached (by aminoacyl-tRNA synthetases). tRNAs cope with the degeneracy of the genetic code in two manners: having more than one tRNA (with a specific anti-codon) for a particular amino acid; and 'wobble' base-pairing, i.e. permitting non-standard base-pairing at the 3rd anti-codon position. The record is from RNAcentral. Lineage: Bacteria; Bacillati; Bacillota; Bacilli; Caryophanales; Paenibacillaceae.